GGUCAAGAUAUAAAGGGCGUAUGGUGAAUGCCUUGGCAUCGGGAGCCGAAGAAGGACGCGAUAAGCUGCGAAAAGCUCUGGGUAGGCGCAAAUAGCCUGUGAUCCAGAGAUCUCCGAAUGAGGAAACUCACAUGGGAAACCCCAUGUAUCCAUAAGUGAAUACAUAGCUUAUGGAGGGUAAACUCAGGGAACUGAAACAUCUAAGUACCUGANNNNNNNNNNGAUGGACUGACCUCUGGUGUACCAGUUGUUCCGCCAGGAGCAUAGCUGGGUAGCUAAGUCGGGAAGGGAUAAACGCUGAAGGCAUCUAAGCGUGAAGCCCACCUCAAGAUAAGAUUUCCCAUAGAGUAAUCUAGUAAGAUCCCUUGAAGAACACAAGGUUGAUAGGUGAGAGGUGUAAGUGUGGUAACAUAUUUAGCUGACUCAUACUAAUAGAUCGAGGGCUUGACCAA
RNAcentral lists this ribosomal RNA (452 nucleotides) under Clostridium intestinale URNW. RNAcentral describes it as "Bacterial large subunit ribosomal RNA". It matches the Rfam family "Bacterial large subunit ribosomal RNA". Lineage: Bacteria; Bacillati; Bacillota; Clostridia; Eubacteriales; Clostridiaceae. The record is from Rfam by way of RNAcentral.